GCAUUUAGUCUCAAAACUUUAUGUUAAAGGUACAGAUUAUAUGUGAAAAACACAUUUUUUCCUUUAAAUAAUUUUCUAAGUACUUUACCAGUAGCUUUCUGAUCUGUGAUGGUGAAUUUUACAUGCCAACUCGGCUACGCCACGGUACCAAGAUAUUUGGUCAAACACUAGUCCAUGUGUUGCCGUGAAGGUAUUUUUUAGAUGAUAUUAAUAUUCAGAUCAGUGGACCGUGAGUAAAGCAGAUAACCUUCAUACUGUGGGUGGGCCUUACUCAAUCCGCUGAAAUAAAUGUUUCUUAAGCACCUGAGGUUUAGUGAUUGUAAUCUCAACCUAACUCUCCUAUGCUGUCUAAAACAGGUCUUAAGAGAAAAAAGAUGGACAUCCCCAAAGACUCUUCCUGCCUGCUGGGGGCCUUCAGAUUCCGUCUGCGCCUUCAGCUCUUCUCCGAGCCUCCAGGCUGCCCGGCCAAUCUUGGACUUACCCUCAAAAUCAUGAGAAUGACAUGGAGGUCAACAGAGAACUACCGCUGUGAACAUCUGACUGUGGCCUUGGACCGUGGUGGCUGGAGCAUACUCUGGCAGGGAGAGGACGGCUAAGCACGAUCAUGAGAGGCAGGGGUCUGGGCUCUAGACUCGGAGACGAAGGGCACCCUGCCUCAAUAUUCUUGGCUGUAUGUUUUGAGUAAGACAUUUAAG
This 695-nucleotide long non-coding RNA is filed under the name Equus caballus (horse). RNAcentral's name for it is "lncRNA (ENSECAG00000058454.1)". The record is from RNAcentral. Lineage: Eukaryota; Metazoa; Chordata; Mammalia; Perissodactyla; Equidae.